This 253-nucleotide ribosomal RNA is filed under the name uncultured bacterium. Its description in RNAcentral is "partial 16S ribosomal RNA". It matches the Rfam family "Bacterial small subunit ribosomal RNA", at positions 524 to 776 of the family's 1533-position model. The record is from RNAcentral.
UACGGGGGGGGCAAGCGUUGUUCGGAAUUACUGGGCGUAAAGGGCUCGUAGGUGGCCAACUAAGUCAGACGUGAAAUCCCCAGGCUCAACUUGGGAACUGCGUCUGAUACUGGAUGGCUUGAAUUCGGGAGAGGGAUGCAGAAUUCCAGGUGUAGCGGUGAAAUGCGUAGAUAUCGAGAGGAACACCGGUGGCGAAGGCGGCCUUCUGGACAGUGACUGACGCUGAGACGCGAAAGCGUGGGGAGCAAACAGG